This is a long non-coding RNA of Salarias fasciatus (jewelled blenny), 6982 nucleotides long. RefSeq lists it as uncharacterized. The record is from RefSeq and is a predicted model, not a curated record. The transcript has 3 exons. Lineage: Eukaryota; Metazoa; Chordata; Actinopteri; Blenniiformes; Blenniidae.
GAUUAACCAAUUUUUUUAUUUUCAUAUGUAAAUAUUCUCGUGACAGUGAUGGAACAACUUCCCCUCGACGCGUCACACUGAGCCAAAAACUUCCCUGUAUAUCACGUUUAGGAAAAGCAGCAUGACUCGUUGAAGGGAUUUCCCAUCAGAUAUGGAAAGUCGCCACCGACCGCUGAGACACUACGAGGAUGUAGCAUCUCGGGCUGUUAGCCGGCGAGUGUCUCUCCUGCCGAGGAGGCUUCAACCCCGACACGUUCAGCUCCAGCUGCAUCAACAUCUGCCCCGCAGGAUACUUUGCUGAUGACAAUCAGAGGCGGAGUCUGCAGUGUCAGGACAAACCUAAAAACUUCCUGCUAUGAGAGAGGAUUGGAACCACUGCACCAUCGUGCUUCUUCCAUCACGAUUUCAGACUGUCAUUUGAAUCAAAUGACCUGCAGGUUGUUGGAUCUGGGACUUUUUUGUCCAUGUCUCCCCCCCGGAGUUCUUUCCUUGGUAUGAAAAAUGCCACACAACUGACUUGAGAUCAUUACUGUUUAUUUAAGUAUAGCCAGAUGUAAUGCUCAGUGUCAUGCAUACAAUCAACAAAAUCAAGCAGGACAGUCAGGACAGUCUCCGGAAGGCUGUCAUGCAGCAGUCCGUUCAUUCCAUGUCCCUCUGGCCUGCCCCGACAGAUGGGUUGGACUUUACUCGCUAUUGGACAGUUUGGUAUCAAGAUCAGCUGCAAACCGAGAGCGGAUGUCUUUAUCAGGGGUGUUUCAGACGCUGGUGCGUGAGUGUUGUUAUCUUCGGAAUUCUGUGGUAUGCUUGCCGUUUAACAGUACGUCUCGCAAGGUCGGUAAGCCCAUUACAAAGACUGUAGAGUUGACAUGGCUGCCCCCCUUCACUCAUCAUGCCAAUAGUGGUAAUAAUAGUUCAUCUCAUACAAACCCCCCUUUGACAUGAUUUAAUCAUCUCUCUUUAAACUGUGUGUGUGCACGUGUGUUGGUUUGUAUGUCAAGGUAGGUAAAAUAGCCUCCUGUCAAUCCUCGAUGACGUAAUACCGCCCCCUCCCAAUGCGUUCCUGAUCUCAGACAAGUUCCCUCACCAGUUCCAAAGCAUAUGCGAGUAUGUGCAAGCAUGUGUAAACUGGUCUUUAAUGCAACUAAUAGAAGCAAGACUUCUUCAUUGCUGUUCGCAUGUAAGAUAAAAAAAAUUAAAACAAAAAACAGCAUGUUCAUUAUUGCAGUGUGAGCACAUAAAUCAAUCUAAUAUAUAUAAAUCAAUCAGUAAAAGAAAAUCAAAAAGGAAAUCAGUCCAGCUAGCAUUUCUAUCCGACAAUGUGGAAUUUUAUGUCAUAAUGAAUACUCAAUCCUAGAUUUAAUGUGAAUCAUCAUCAUCAUCACAAGAACAAUUGUCUAAAUUCCAGAUAUACAUGUGUGCAGUGAGAAUAUAUAUGGGUAUGUGUUAGCAGCAGCAAUGCAAUAAGUGUUUUAAUCAAACGGAGAAGGAAGGGGAGUGAUCUUCAUCAGAUGACUUCAUCUUCAUCAUCGUCAUGCACCCGAUUUAUCCUCGGCCGGACCAUCGUCUUCUUCAGCAUCAGAAACUCUGGGCUCAGAGGGAGAGGGUAGGACAAAUGUAGUCAUUUGGCAAAGUUGUUGUAGACUUUUGUUUAGGGCCAAAACAAUGCAUUAGUUCUUGAUGAACCGCCCCAAGUGCAUCCCUUGUCAUGUUGUUGAGCCUUUGGACAUUGUAGUGUGCAUAGUUAAUUCUUUCUGUGUUUUUGGACAGCGUAAUCCAAAUCAAAAUUCAUUCAAAACCUGCAGCAAUUUGGUUGACCAGUUUGUACUGGUCCGGUACACGAGGUAUACCGAUCGCAUCUAUGUAUACUGGGGAUUCUGACUCAUUCAAAUGUUCUGAGUGACCUUCUCCUCCUUAGUCCUCCACUGACCCCAUAAUGAGAAAUGUGUGAGAUGCAUCAUAAAUCGUUUUUUCAGUUGUCGGAAAAACUCUCACUGGGGAGAUCAAUGAUAUCAGUCCACAUUUCCCUUUCCAGUUUGGUGCCAGGUUUCCGUGGAGGGCCUUACCUCCGCAGUACCACCGUACAUCCGCUCUGGCUGUAGUCAGUCUGCUGGAAUUCUUCCAUCCUGUUAUGUCAACCGUUUUUGCACACCAGUUUUCACUGAUCCCACCAUACUCUGCUGAUCCGCUUGAUCCACGCUUUAAGCAUGUAAUGUUAACCCUGUUGGCUAUAAACACCGGAGGGAUGGCUUCUUUCGGGGCCACUGGGUAGAUUUCAUCAAGGAAUUCACUCAUUUUCAACUAAUUUUCAAUUUGGGGCUGAGGUUGUCCCGGGACAUAAUGUCCAUGAGGCAGAAGCUGAGGGUUUCAUUUUGGUCCAUGACACUGGGUACCAUCAGCAGGUUUGGUCUGGGUUCAGCGCACACCACACAGCCGCCAGAGGAGCUUGGUUUCACUUCUUCUCUCAUUCUGUUUAGCCAUUCAUUAUUUUGAAUAAAACCUGUUUCAGUUGCUGUCACCUUCGAGAGUGAGACUGAACAGUCAAUUAUUUCAUUUUUGUCAGCCCCGUUUGUGGGUUUCUGGGUAAUGUUGAACAUGAUGAGGCCCAGUGGGUCCUUACCACUUACCUUUCCACUCCUGUGGUUAAGAAGAAUACCUUCCCAAUGUCGAUACCUCUGUAGGAUCUGCUCCAGGGGUUUCCCCACAAGUUUGUGAUGGUCAAAAUAAGGGGGUUGUUUGUUUCCCACAUUAUGUACCUGACCUCUGAUUAGGUAUAUUAAAUUUUUUAGUCUAUGGAAUAUCCCAUCCCCCUCGUUACAGGAACUGGCUGUCCAACCAUUUGGGUUACUGUUCCAGUGCACAUAUUCCCAAUCUGUGCAUAAUGCUGCUGGUCCAGCUUUUCGGGUCUUCACCACACUCAAUCCUGUCACAUAGGUCAACUUGGAAGCUUUGGGCUGUGUUUGGUUUCAUUCUUAUUUCUACCAUAUUUUCUGAAAUGUUCAGGUUGGCGCCACGCUGUGUGUCCCCAUGCAUCUCAUGUGUAUUACUUCUUUGUCUAUAUAUGAUUUGCUCUUCCUUAUCAACAGCCAUGUGCGUUGUCUCUUUGUGAUACAUGCUUUUCUGCAACCGACAAACAGACCGAAGUCUGGCAGAAACUUAGAGAAGACUUUCUGCUUACCAUUCAGUUUAAGUUCCUUUGUUGGAGGGAGGUGUAGACUGGCCCAUCUGGAAAAAUCGUGGUUCCGAAUCAACCUAAUACCAAGAAGAAUCCAGGUCACAGCACCAGUUGUUGGAUGUGGGACUUUAUCGCCUACAUCUUCCCCCAAUUCUUUAAAUCUUAAAACUUGGUAUGAAAAAGGCCUGUCUGUCCUUACUCACUGCAAAAAUGCCAAAAAAUGACUUGAGAUUAUUGCUGUUUAUUUAAGAAUAGCCAGAGGCAAUGUUCAGGGUGCCAAAUCCAAUGGACAAAAACAAGCAGGACAGUCCCCAAGGUGUCUCUUCAGAAGGAUCUUGAAUUCUCAUCUAACAAUCCUUUUAUUCCAUGUAUUCUGGGCUUGGCCUGCCAUGACAGGUGGGUCUCCCCUUGUUUCAGAUAUCAACUUACACUUAUUACACAUAUCUCAUUCUGACAUUACGUGACCUUUUAUUCACAAUUGGAUAAUUUGGUUAUGGAGGUCAGCUGCCAACCGAGUGCUGAUGUCUUCAGCAGGGAUGUUUGAGACACUAAUGUGUGAGCUUUGUUGUCUCUGGACAAACACAGUCUUUCUGACAUCAACACGAAUAAUUAAAUAUUUAAUGAUUAAAAUCCUGAGUGUGCUGGAUCAGUGAAAGGGCAGCAUAAUAACCGUUUUCCACAAUUCCAGUGUUUGCCUUUUUCCUAUUUAUUUUUAUUCUAAGAACAAUGUAACAGAAUGCUAAUAGAAGAAAGCCCCACUUGUCAGAGUGAAUGAACCCAUUUCAUCAAAACUUUUCAUGGAUGAAUCCAAAGCCAAGAGAACAGAACAGACAGGUUUGACAGCCGUGUUCCCGGUUGGCAGUUACAGAAUAGUUCAAUAAGUCAACAAACUUCUGCUGAAAUUCAUAUGUAGCCUCACAUGCACCUUCUCUGGUUUCUGAUAUCAACUGAAGUGUUUGUUCAUGCAGUCACAUCAUUUGUGUCAUGAGAUCUUUUCAAAUAUGGGGUUGAAUGAUUUUUGCAGACACGGUUGUUAUUAAAUGUUCAAUUGGUUCACAGUUUAUAUAUAACAUGGAAAAGUGACAAGUGAAGAUACAAGAAAAUAGGUGGUGGGAAAACUGGACUAUUAUAGUCCAAACUUAAAGGAAUAUGAAAAUGAAAAAUGUCUCUAUUUGUUGGUAGAUCAGUACUACUUGUGGACGAGCAUUUGAUUUAAGCAUGAAGUUUCAACUUGUUUAUUUUGCUAGUCAUUCAAAGCAUCAUGUUGUGGUUACCAGGUCAUAUAAUAAUGGUACUUCUUGUGCUAUUGUUGCAGCAGACUUGUUUAAUCACAAACACCAAAUUUCUGCUGAAAUUCAUGUGUCGCCUCUCAUGAAUCUCCCCUUGUUUCAGAUAUCAACUUACACUUAUCACACAUAUCUCAUUCUGACAUUACGUGACCCAGUUUCCUAAGUCUUUCCACGUAAGAGAGAAAAGAUAACCAGAAUAAAAUUAAUUGCUUUGAGUAAAACAGAAAUUAUGAAUCUAUACAACUAAUGUAAUUGAUCAUUUACAGCAGGACACAAACAGAAAAAAGCACAUGUCAUUGGUGAGUGUUGUGUGUUGAAGCAGGUUAAUGUGAAGCUGUAAAAAAAUGCACAUUUCAUGAUAAAAGGGCGGCUUCUCAUGAGACAGACAUGCGCCUGCAAAAGCAUUUCAGAUGAUACUACAGAACUUAUUAAAGGUAAGGGAUGUGGAUAGUUUCGUUGAUUUACCCUUAAGGUAAAAAACACAACCUACUAUAGUUCCAUGUCUCAUUUGUUUGAACCUCUUUUCCUAUUUUAGUGUCACUCUGAAGGCGUUUGUGCAUUCCAGACGUGUUAGAGUCCAGCAGGCCAACUGUUAAUGCUAAAUACAAGGCAUGAAUUCACAUACUGAGAAAACUCUUUGAAUAGGUGAGGCUUAUGUAUUUGUAAAGACUCCCAUUUCACAUUCAGUAUGGAUCCUACGUUCAUACCCAGGCAUCCGUUUUGCAUGGAUUCUCAUGUGAACCAGCAUAAUACCAAAUAGCAGCUCAGAUGAACUCGACUUAUCUGCUCUACACAAAUAAAAAGAUGUUGAAUCAACUUUUAUGUUAAGAACAUAAGUAAUAUUUUUCCGUCACAUAUUUUCAGACUGUUGCAGCCAAUAAAACUGCUCCGUGACAUUUAAACCUGCCUACCCCAGCUUCAGUCUAAAAUCCCAAACGCAAACCCCGAUUUGAACAUCUUCAUUCCUCAUUUUGUGAUUUCUACAAUCCAAACAUGCAUUUUCUUCACUGGACCCGACAGAAGAAGCAGCUUUGAAAAAACUUUAUUACUACUUCAGUAUUUUCUGUCCACAAUGUGGGGACACCGCAGACAUGGGUCAUUUCCCCAUGUCCACAGUGCUUCUCUAUAUAUAUAAGGGAUAAAAGGAGCCACAAAUAAGCAGAAGCCCAACAGCGGAGGAAGGGAGUCCUUUAAUUCAACAGUGGUGAAGACACAAAUUUGCUUACAGCAAAUACGCUUCUUCAAGCGAUUUUCUUACUUUUAAUUCAGCUUAAUUUAUAUAGCGAAAACUACAACACAGUCAUUUCUUUGCACCAUUGUUUUACUGUGAAAAACCAAGAGUUCUACAUGAGCAAGCAAAAGCACCUGUGGAAAGGAAAAACUCCCUUUUAAAAGGAAGAAGCCUUUGCAGAGCCAGGCUGAGAGGUGGCAGAUUUCUGAUAUUUCAGUUGGAGUGAGGAGAUAGAAAGAGAGAAAAGGAGAGACACAAAAACAGCAUCUAUCAAAACACAGCAGGCUGCAUGUCGGAACUCUGCUCUGGGUCACAGUUUUCUGGAACUUUUUGUGAGCAUGGUUUGAGUGAAAGUUCAGCUGUUUGCAGUAGUUUGCAGGGAAUGUAAAGGAUCAGAUAAUUACAGAACACCAAAUUGCUGAAAAAAAAAUGACCACAGAGGGAAAGAUGAUGAAGGAUUUUUGGGAAAUCUCUUCUGUAGGAUGAACUUUGUACUGCCAGUCCAAAGCAGCUGCACCGCCACAGUUCACAGCACACUCUCAGUGGAGCUCGUGCCUCGGAUUAAACGUGUGGUUGGGAGCAGUUGGAGCUGCUCUGUCCACAUGUCCAUCAGUAGCAGCAGCAGUCCUGCAGCCUGCUCUACAUCUCAUCUUACUCACUGAAUAUUUCUUGCAUUUUUAAGCCGCUCUGAAAAUUCCUUGCAUUAUGUGGAUCUUUUUCAAUAUUUUACUAUCUCAGACUCAUGAAUGAAAAUGUCAGGUUUUUUUAAGUGCAACCAUGAAAUGCAUGUUGAGAGGAGAAAAAUGUGUUUGUAUGUGACUUUGAGCACUCAUCUGGAUUGGUUGUCCGAAUUUUUCUAAAAACGUAAACAAGAAGAAACACCUGGGGCCUUACCUAUAAAACUCUGCGGAAAAUUCUGACAAUAAUCGUGCGUGGGAACGCAACGCAAACUUCUGUCCGCAAAAAAAAAAUUGGGGGCUAAAAAACUGCCCACAGCACAGCUGUACGCAAUUGACAAGUAAUGGAUCCCAAACCUGCGCAGAACAUGACGGCUGUUGAUCCCAACCACAAUCUCGCCCCAACUCCACCCAUUGGCACCAUAUAUGGGUAUGCAAAUGAACUCAUGAAUAAAAUUUGGGUAUAUUAGAGGGUGUGGCGCACAGCACUGUUACAUGCUAGAGAAGUGCGGAUUGCGGUUGCACCCGCGGAGCCCGCGGAUAACUGCAGAUCGGGCGGAUGACGUGUAGAAAAAUUAAGAUUUUAAUUACAUUCGGGCAGGUUGCGGUUGAA